AUCGGGAGACAGUUACUAAAAUCUAAUUCAAACCGUCGAGUUAUUCAGGCGCUGUAGGGGUAGGGGAGUCCAUUCAUGGUGAAAUCAUUAUCGUUAAGUUUUCAAUCUUCUUUGGUUGUUUGCAGGCUAAUAGAACGGUGGUGAUUGUUUGCAACUAUUUGAACACGAAUACAGAGGAAUACUUUCUGGAAGAGUUGAAGGCGUUUGUCUUCCGUCAGAGUGGCGCAUCUUUUGAAUUUGUCGCAACGAACAUUGUAAAACUCAAGUUACCUUUGCUAACAUCAGUAAUUGGUGUGACGGCAACGUAUUUGCUGGUCUCCAUCCAAAUUCGAAAGGCUGUUUCUGACAUGUAAUAUAUGAUCUCUCCUCGGAAUUCUCACAAAAUGUAUUUAAAGUAAAGCUACUAAAUUACCCAUAGUAUAAGAAAUUAACUUCGUUCAAAUAAACAUUCCUGCAAAUAUUCGAAUAAAAAAUUGGUUUUACUGACUCAACUUGACUGUCGAAAGGAAAACAUUGAAAUUGAGCACACGCAGUGCAGAGUAAUAUUUUUGUUGUUCACUAACCUAAAAAAAAGUCUAGAUAUUAUGAAUUGACAAUUAGAUACAUGAAAAUAUUUUCACUAGUUUGAAUUACUUAGAAUUUCUGUGGUAGUUAAAGUAAUAUGAAUUGACAAUUAGAUACAUUAAAAUAAUUUCAAUAGUUUGAAUUACUUGGAAUUUCUGUGGUAGUCAUACUUGUAAUUUAUCCAAUUUUAUUGUGAGAACCAAUGUCACGAGAGUAAAUUGGUGAUGAAAAUGGUGCUGCAUAUGCGUUAAACGGACUUCUCUUUCGGUUUCAAGAAUUGAAAAGUAUCCACCUUUUCCGAGCAUGCAUUACAUUGGGUUUCCAGCACUGAGACUGAUGCUUUUCGGCUAAUCGCUUUCUUGAUCGACUUUCAGACAAAACCUCUGAAAUAAUUUGCGACCGUAUAAAUAUACUAAAAUGAGUGUAAAGUUGAACGGUUCUUUCCCAAUUUUUUCGUAUUGUAAAAAAAUUACUUUUGAUUUUACAUAACUGGCACACAUUUUUGAAACUUCCCUUUUUUGAUUUGACAAGAAAAAAAGCACAGUGAAAUGGACUUGAAAGCAAU
This 1129-nucleotide long non-coding RNA is filed under the name Bemisia tabaci. Its description in RNAcentral is "lncRNA ENSSSA1NGG000569". The record is from RNAcentral. Lineage: Eukaryota; Metazoa; Arthropoda; Insecta; Hemiptera; Aleyrodidae.